This 987-nucleotide long non-coding RNA is filed under the name Triticum aestivum (bread wheat). RNAcentral's name for it is "long non-coding RNA (TAES_LNC005575)". Lineage: Eukaryota; Viridiplantae; Streptophyta; Magnoliopsida; Poales; Poaceae. The record is from RNAcentral.
AAAAGCUCAAAAUAUUUAUAUUUCAAAAGCAAAGUAAUAUCCAGUACAUAGCAUAGUCUGAUGAUCUUAAUUUGCACACUAAAACUGACAAUAUAAUUUAUUAUUUGAUCAAGUGAACUACAUCGUGAUAGCAAUGAAAUGAUGUAGUUCGACAAAAGCUUGGUUUCCCCAAAAGCUUGCAUUCCUAAAUUUAAUUGGAGACUUCAUUUUGUUCUGCAAAACAAAAGUUCCUAUCAAAACUGGUCGCUACUUAUAUCUUUUGUGUUACCAUCAGAUAAAAAGUUAGGCAUGAACUUACAUUUGUUUCUGGAUCCUCCCCAAUUGGCCAUGUUCUUCACUCCAAAGUUCUUCACCAGGAUAAUAACUCAAUUCUUCCAAACAUUCCUACUCAAGGCAUAGUAAAGGAAACUAAGCAUUUCACGUCUACACUAGAACUUGGAAAUUCGUUAAGUGAUCCUUUCAGGGAUUUUACCUCUUUGUCUUUUUCCUUUUUUCUCUUCCUUUUGGCACUACCAGAUAAAUGCUUUCUAGAGGACAUCUCAGUAAACAAGAACAAGCAGCAUAAAUGAUUAAAACAAGGAAUAAAAGCACCUGAAUGUGGUUGUAGGUGGCCAAAUCAGUAGAUCCGGAGGUUGCAGUCAGCACGAACAAGAACACAACACCAGGAACUGAAUUGUUUUCCCCCCUUCUCCACUUCAGCAGUUCUCCUGGCUCCCGAGCACUGAAACUUAGAUCCACGGAAGUCUGAAGAGCAGAAGAUAAGAAGAGAUGUCAAGUAUGGAGUCGUCGCCUCAUCGAAGGGCACGCCUAUAUAAUUGACAGGGGGAACGGGGUCAUGGGGAGGAGGAAAAGAAGAACACGUACUGUCUCCUCUCCAACGUCUAGCUGAUGGGGAACGAGCAGAACCUUGAAGAAGGAAGGAGAGACGAUUGGGGAGCCGAUUUGCGCCUUUAAUCUCCAUUAAUGGCCGGCGGUGAUCUUGGAAUC